Molecule: ribosomal RNA, 253 nt
Filed under: uncultured bacterium
Lineage: Bacteria
Description: partial 16S ribosomal RNA
Rfam family: Bacterial small subunit ribosomal RNA
Source: RNAcentral
GACGAACCGUGCGAACGUUGUUCGGAAUCACUGGGCAUAAAGGGCGCGUAGGCGGCUUAUCAAGUCAGGGGUGAAAUCCGGCAGCUCAACUGUCGAAGUGCCUUUGAUACUGAUGAGCUCGAGGGAGGUAGGGGUGUGCGGAACUUCCGGUGGAGCGGUGAAAUGCGUUGAUAUCGGAAGGAACGCCGGUGGCGAAGGCGGCAUCCUGGACCAACACUGACACUGAGGAGCGAAAGCCAGGGGAGCAAACGGG